This is a long non-coding RNA of Bubalus bubalis (water buffalo), 3304 nucleotides long. RefSeq lists it as uncharacterized. The record is from RefSeq and is a predicted model, not a curated record. The transcript is spliced from 2 exons. Lineage: Eukaryota; Metazoa; Chordata; Mammalia; Artiodactyla; Bovidae.
UGCAGUCUGCCUUCUCUUUCAUCAGGAGGUUCACUCCAGUUGCCCAGGAGAGGCUGCUCUGGGGAUGCGCUGGAGCACAAGACAGGCAACUCUGGACAUCUCCCUGUCCUCCCACCUACUGGCUGGCAUCUGCCCUACAGCAUCUGCCUCUCGUUACUGGCAUCCUUCAGAAUGUUGUGGGAUCAUUAGCACUGUUUUCACUGCCAAUGGCCCUGUCUGAGAUUCCGUGGUUCAUACUCACAGGAAAGGCCAUCUGAAAAUUCACACAAGGCUGCAUGGCCUAGGGAGGGUGUGUGAGAGGGCAGGCUGACCAUACAGGGCAGCACAUUUAGUUUAAUUUUGUCUCCAAAGGAAUUUCACAGGCCACACACAAAGCUUAGCAUCCACCACCAUGUUCUUGGCUCAUGGUUUUCUGGGCACUGGUGUAGACGGGGCCUGGGGGAGAGGUUUUCCUGCAGCCUCGCCUGAGGGACCCAAGCUGCAGUCAGGGAGAAGGUGGGCCCCCACCUGGAAUAUAAGGUGCUUUUUUUUUUUUUUAACUUUCCUCUUCACCUAAAUAAGGCCCCAUGGUCCCAUGCAUGCCACCUUUCAGAACAUGCGUCCUGAGCAGAGGCCUUUGGGGCAUGUUCUUGAUGAAGGCCAGCCAGCCUUGGCCCUCUGGGGAAUGGGACACAGCUUCUUAUUGGCUGCAUCUUUGCUGCUUCCUUCCCCUUCCUUGUUCUUCUAGGUUCUAGUACUACCCCCUCCCCUGGGAACCAAGGCUGAGGACCUCAAGGCAGGACGCCAGGCUAGAUCUAGGAGCCUCCAGGAGGGUCACCUGCAGGCCAGCCUAGGUGUGAGCUCAGAGUGGGCCUAGUAAAGAGAUCCUGAGAAAGUACAUGGGUGCCUGACACAUCCACAGCCUGUGCUGUCAGAGCUCAAGUGAACACUGUAAAUAGAGGCUAGGGAGGAGAGACUGUCAGGUGUGUGAUUGGGAGGGACAGACAGACAGGGAGGGAGGAGGGACAGGGGAGAAGAGGAAGGGAAGGAAGGAGGUGGAUAAAGGGGGGACGAGCCUGUAUCCUCUCCUGGCAUCUGUAUUCCUUUUCACACCAGGUAACUCCACCAGAGCCUCCCAUCCAUCCUCCUUGAUGACUUCCCUUUUCCACCUACUGGCCAGCAACUGCAGGGCAGCACGUCCUCGGUUGACUCAUAUUCUCAACCCACAGACCUCUCCUGGUGGGUCCAGUAUGAAACUCGACAUUAUGAGUCAGGGGACUUGACCUGCCCCCCGCUUUCUUCUUGCAGCACCGUUACUGCCCACUCAGCCACCUGGCUGGACACAGACUGACCCACCCCAGCUAUGCAGACCUGAGUUCUCAGAUAUGGUCAGCAGCGUCUACACUUCCCAUAAACCUGUUGGAAAUUCAGAUUCUGGGCCCCACCAAGGCUGACUGGAUCAAACCCUGGGGGUGGGCAAGCCUGGCAUGCUGGCCUUUAGGGAACCACUGGCUUAGAGGCGAUAAGCCUCCAUAGAGACAAUCAAGGUCCUGACCACAAAGCUUUGUGCCCCCUUGGUUGUAUAGUUUGUACCAGUGGGUCUUUGCUUUCUGUUCAUCAGAAUGGGGUACGGGCCCCAAGGAGCCCCCACUCAGGAUAUAUACCUGCGCCUGCCAGGUCCAGUGUGCACGGGUGCUUACAUGCACUUUGCUGAAAUGAACUGCGGUCAUGGUAUUGAUCUGAGGAGCAGCUCAAGGUCAGAGAUGUCCUAAUGGGUGAGAAGAGUGGGGCCACUUUCCAGGCCCCUCCACUGAUGGAGAUGCUGCUGAUGGAAGGAGAUAGCAGCUGGCUCCCGUGCACCCAACGUCUUGGGUGCUCAGUGCAUUUCCUGCUACAGAUUCUGCUGAAUAAACCUGGCCUCGGACAUUUAUUUAAACCACAUAGUACAUUCUUUUUUAAAAACAUCAGGUGUGCUGUGCAGUCCGUCGCAGCCUGAGAGGACAUGAAAUGGCUCCGUGUGGCAGCAGCCCUCAGCCUGGGACACUGGCCCCUCACCCCCCAACACCUGGGAGCCUUCCUUGUGCCCAGCUCUGCAGAAAUGACCCAAGGCGUGGUUGCAAACAGAAGAUGGUUUAGAGGAAAUCUGUGAUUUAGCUGUAACUAGAAACUCUUGAUGUCGCUCAUCAUUUUUCCUAGGUCUACAUCAUGCCGGUACUUCCCUGGCAGUCUAGUGCACUAGACUCUGCACUACCAGGGCCCUGAGCGUGGGUGCCAUCCCUGAUGGGGACACUAAAAUCCCACAUGCAGCGGAGCACAGCUACACACAAGAAACAUCAUGCUAAUUUGUUUAGGGCCACGGCCCUGGCUGUGCUUCCGGUGGUGAGGCGACGCCUCUCUCCCUCAUCCAGUUUAGAGGCCCCAGGAAGUCACCUGACCCUCGGUGGCCAAUCAGAGGUUAGUGGUAACUGAUGACGUAGCUCGCGUGGGGCAGAGCUCCACCCCUUUUGUUCCGGCCCAAGGAUGUCUGAUUUGGAAGCCGGGAGACCUGGCUUAAGUUCACAGGGAGGUGGCGCCAAGACGAGGCCGCGGGGUCUGUGUGAAAAAGCAGUAGAACCCACUGAUGCAGAGGAAAGUGGAGAUUUGCUGAAAGGCCAAGAGACAGGAGCCAAGGGAGUGCUGGAAGCAGCAUCUCUUCAUCAGGAGGAGGGCACUUCCAGGUAAGAGGCCACAUCCCCACCCCUGACCUGACCAAGGCCUAAACUGGGAUGUCGAUGUUUCUACACUUAAUUUUGUUGUGAGUUUAAUUCUUGGCUGGUUCAGACGAUGUCUUGGGUUUGUUAUCUACACUUCACCUGCAACAAGCAAUCCUUAUCAAAAUAAUUCCACAGGUCUCCUGCCGGCUUAAUCUAUCUAAUCAUUCCUAUGUAUGUGUAACUCAUCAAGUCUCUAAAGAUGUGGUUUCUGUUUAUUUUGCUUUUCUUUUAUUGUGCAAUAAUCUGUACCCCAUAGCAAGGCAAGUUCGUGAAGACUGGAUGGGGAGAGAAUUUGCAACUAAUAUUCUUAAAAGAGAAAAAAAGAGAGUUCAUAAGUAUUAAUCAUGUCCACUAAAGAGACAGAAUGCAGAAAACGAUGACAAAUGACAGCUUGCAUCUUAAAUGAGUAACAGGCAGUUGAGUAAAAUUACUUUCUCACCAAUCCUUACUUACCAGCAAUGUUGUAAACCUAGUCUCAGGAAUUUCAAUGACAUUUCUCUCUAUUUUUGCUCCAGUGCAGUUGAUAAUGCAUUUUAAGAGAUGUUCUUGCCUAUAUGUAUGAUCCUCCAUUA